RNAcentral lists this long non-coding RNA (6849 nucleotides) under Sus scrofa (pig). RNAcentral's name for it is "lncRNA (ENSSSCG00055011980.1)". Lineage: Eukaryota; Metazoa; Chordata; Mammalia; Artiodactyla; Suidae. The record is from RNAcentral.
UUGGUUUCACAGGUGAAUUCUAUUAACAUUUAACGAUGAAGUAACAUCAAUUUUGCAGAAGCUCCUUCAGAAAAUGGAGGAGGAGGUGUCUUCCGGACUAGUUUUAUUAGACCAAGAUAACCUGGCAACAAAACCUGACAAUAAGUUUACAAAAAAAGUUACAGCUCAAUAUCUCUGUGAACAUGGAUGCAAAAAUCACUUAAUUUAUAAAGUAUAGUACAGCAUGUCCAAAUAAGGUUUAUCUCAGGACAAUAAGGUUGGUUUAACAUUUCAAAGUCAAUCAGGGAGUUCCCAUUGUGGUGCAGUGGAAACGAAUCCAACUAAUAUCCAUGAGGACUCGGGUUCGAUCCCCGGCCUUGCUCAGUGGGUUAAGGAUCCCAUGUUGCCGUGAGCUGUGGUAUAGGUCGCAGAUGUGGCUUGGAUACCAUGUUCCCAUGUUGCUGUGGCUGUGGUGUAGGCAGGAAGCUGUAGCUCUGAUUUGACCUCUAGCCUGGGGACUGGCAUAUGGCCCUAAAAAGCAAAAAAAAAAAAAAAGUGUAUGUAAAUAAGAGUAACUCACAUAUUUCUUAAAAAGAAAAAGAAAUUUUGCUCCUUAAGUUUUAAGUGCUUGGGCUAUUUAAAGAAAAAUAUUGUUACCUAAAAUAUUGUCACCAAAGCUACAACAGCAAAGAGGUUUUCUGGUUUUCUCAUACUUUAAUCAACACUUUUAAAAGUUUAAUUGCUUUGUAACAAUCCAAUGUCUAAAGCUAUUUAAUAUGUACAAAAUUAAAGCCCACACUAAAGAUACCACUUUUAAAACUUAAAGUUUCUACUGUACAAAGAAGUAGCCCUUACUGGUUUUAUAUUCAUUAUACAAAAAGCAAAGGUUUAAUUUCUAAAUAAGAAGGAUGUAUGAGUUGCCAGAAAUUGGCCCCACAUCAGGAGAGAGAAAGGGAGGAAUGAGGGAAGGACGGGAGGAAAAGAGACUGGGUAUUUCAAACAAUCCUCAUACUGGUUGAUGUCAUCCCAAACCAUCUCUAGACCUUUAAUACUUAUAUCACAAAAAUAAUCCAAGUGAUAGGGAUUAAUGUGCUCUAAAUUUACAAAAAUAAGGGGACAAAUUUUAUCUGGAAAAAGUGGAGGACCAAAUUUCGCUUUAUCUCUAAUCAUCAUCAUCUGGAAAAACUGUAACUUGGAACCCAGCCUCAAGGCAUUUAAGCAUUUCUAUAUAAAUUUCAUUCGGUUAUUUCAAAACUUAAAAUAUGUUUAAUAAUAGUUUAUACAUCUUCUGGUUGGAUCAGGAUUUUCUCUAAUAAAAGGCAAAUGCUGGAGUUCCCAUUGUGGCAGAGUAGGUUAAGAAUCUGACUUCAGUGGCUUGGGUCGAAGCCGUGGCUUGGAUUCCAUCUCUGGCCCUGGUAACUUCCAUGUGCCUCAGGUGUGGCCAAAAAAAGAAAAAAAAAAGCAAAUGCUUUAACAGUCACGAAACAGCUUAUGGAUUUUUAUUUUUCCCUUAGCGAAUAUCUUCAAUACUCUGUAUGGAUAAACAAACAAAAACUUUACAGUACAGGUAAAAUACUUCAAAAACUAUAAAUUACACAUGGCGCUGUCAUUAAAAGAAAACUUUAUUAUCAACAUCAUCCCCAAAUCCUGGUAAGAUAAAUUGAAUAGUUGUAAUGAAUACUGUUAACUACUCAUGUACACAGUCCUACUCCUGAUAGAUGCAAACUCUAUUCCCAGCCAAGGAUACCACUGGAUAAUUUCUCUGUAAUAAACAACUUGGAAAAUGAAUAUAUUAAGAGACAUCAAGGAAAAUCAGUCUUAAAACUAUACCAGGAGUUCUCAUUGUGGCUCAGUGGAAACGAACCCAACUAGUAUCCAUGAGGAUGCGGGUUCCAUCCCUGGCCUCCCUCAGUGUGUCAGGGAUCCGGCGUUGCCUUGAGCUGUGGUGUAGGUCACAGAUGCGGCUGGGAGCCCGAGUUGCUGAGGCUGCGGUGUAGGCUAUAGCUGUAGCUCCUAAUUGACCCCUAGCCUGGGAAAUUCUAUAUGCCGCGGGUGUGGCCCUAAAAAGCAACGAACAAACAAAGGCCUAUACUACAAAGGACGAUUUCGGGUAUUAUUAACCACACACACACACACACACAAAUUCUUAAGCUCUAAAACAUAUGCCCAUGAGUACACACUUCCUAGAAUAAAUAUGCUUAAAUUCCUCCAAUCUUUAUAUCCAGUUCCACUCACUAUCUGACCCCAUGACUUACUAAACAGUUUCCAAAAGUAGGUACCUUCCACCCAGGGCUUUCCAAGUCAAAAUAGAAGAUUGGGGGCAUGGACUUUCAGUUUCUUUCCUGGAGUGCAGAAAGCCAGAAAGUGCACUGCUCCUACCUUUACAAUGAAAAAGAAUGAAGCUAACUUCAAAUUCACGAUUUUUCCCCUUGAACUCAUCUUUUGCUGCCACACAACAAUUGCCAUAAAUUUAGGGGCUUAAAAAAAAAAAAGAUCAUUUCACAAUUACUCUAGUUCAGAAGGCUGGGCAUAGCUUAGCUGGGUUGUCUGAUUAGGGCAGAAAACAAGAUUUUUGGCAGGAUUACAUUACUUUCUGGAAGCUCUAGUGAAGAAUCCAUGUCCAAGCUCAUUCAGAUUGUUGCCUGAAUUCAGUUCCCUGUGAUAGUAGGUCUGAAAUCUGAAUUUUCUUGCUGGCUAUCAGUGUAAUGUUCUCUGUUUCAAGAGGCCGACCACGUUCCUUCUCACAUGGCUCCCUUUUAUCUCCGAACCAGUAACAAACUAAAGAGUCCCUGUCAUGCUGCAAAUCUUUUUUCUGCCACCAGCCGGAGAAAAAGUUACCUGCUUUUAAAGGGCUUAUAUGAUUACAUUUGGCCAUUCCAAACAAUUAAGGAUAAUCUCCCUAUCAUAAGGUCAACUGAUUGGUAACCUUAAUUAAUCUGCAAAAUCUCAAGGAAGGUAAUAUACUCAAGAAUGGGUUAUCUCAUCACAUUCACAGCACAGGAGAUCAGGGUGUGGAAUUUCUCCUGGGGGUGUAAUGAUGCCAGCUGCAUUAUCAGAGAGUUGAGGUUGCAAAGCAAACAACUGGCCAAAGAUCUAAGAGACAAUCACCUGUAGUAAGAGAGAAGACUUGAGCGCUUCCUACCUGGGUCAGAUGCAACCGGUUAGAAGAGUUAAGAAUCCAGUUGAUGACUUGAUGAAGACCAAGUACAGCCUAGCAGGGCAGAGUAAAGCUCUUGGAGGCUGCAAAAAUUGGGGGAAUCUCUGCCCAUUUUCAGUCUUUUUCUCUAUUUAGAUAACAUGCCAGGUCUGAUGGAUGAUUUUAGCAGAGAGAUGGUGACCAUGAGGAAGAUUAAAAUAAAAAUGCUAUUAAGUGAAAGUUUCAGUAGUAGAGAAGAAUGCCACUAACAGACUCACUAGUAGACUUGAUGCAGCCAGGAAAAAAAAUGAAUGAAGUUGAAAAUUAGUCAAUAGAAAUUACCGAAAUGGAAACACAAGGAGAAAAAGAGUGGGAAAAAAAUACACCUAGAACUGAGCAUUGAAGAAAUUUUGAGGCAAGAGCAAAUGGCUUAAACACAAAUGUCACUGGAAUACCAGAAGGAAAAGGGAGAACAGAGCACCAGCAAUAUUUGAAGAAUUAACAGCCAAGAAUAUUCCCAAACUGGAGUUCCCGUCAUGGCUCAGGACUGCUGACAAUCACCUACUGAUUCUCUCCUUCAUAUGAGUAAAUCUGCUGGCACAUAAUUAAUUGCCUCCAUGUCAUUCUUUGAGAGGAGUAUAUGUAGAAUGGAUAUACACAAAGGUGUCAAAAGGGUGAACCUCGGGCAUUCUGUUAUUUAGAGGUCAGAAGCAGAGCUGUAAAUGAGGGCAUUUGGCAAAGCUGGAGAAACUAGGAGAAGGUAUCCUGAAAACCAAGAGAAGAAAGGGUUUCCAGUUGAUUAACUGUCAAAUGCUGCUGAGUGGUUCAAUUAGAGUAGAACUGAGACUUAACUGUGGAUUUGGCAGGUUAGAAGUCACUUGGUUACCUUCACAAGUGUGAAUUCAGGGGACUGGUGAGAACAAAAGCCUAAUGGAAGUAAGACGAUGGGGGAAUAGAGCAGAUCUAAUGGAUCUGGUUGUAAAGGAGAUGAGAGAAAUGAGAUGUAGCUGGAGUGGCAUGGGGGGGGGGAAUUUUAAGUUUUUUUUUGUCUUUUCUAGGGUCGUACCAGCAGCAUAUGGAGAUUCCCAGCUAGGGGUCGAAUCGGGGCUGUAGCCGCCAGCCUACGCCAGAGCCACAGCAACGCGGGAUCUGAGCUGCAUCUGUGACCUACAUCACAGCUCAUGGCAAUGUCAGAUUCAUAACCCACUGAGCAAGGCCAGGGAUAGAACCUGCAUCCUCAUGGAUGCUAGUCGGGUUUGUUAACCACUAAGCCAAGACAAUAACUCCGAGUUAAACUUUGGAACAGGAUAGAUAAUAUUUUCAGAUGAUUAAAAAUUCCACAAAGGAGUUCCUGUAGUGGCUCAGUGGAAAUGAAUCUGACUAGCAUCCAUGAGGACGCAGGUUUAAUCCCUGGCUUCGCUCAGUGAGUUCAGGAUAGGGUGUUGCCUGAGCUUCGGCCACAGCUCCAAUUUAACCCCUAGCCUGGGAACAUCCAUAUGCCGCGCGGGUGCACCUCUAAAAAAGCAAAAAAAAAAAAAAACCCCAAAAAUGAAAAAUAAAAAAAUAACACAUAAAAUAUUAUAUAUAAAAAAAGUCUCCCUCUUACUCCCGACUCCCGUCUGCCCCUGGAAAGUAAAUAUUUGUUUGCUUCUUGUUUAUUCUUCCAUGUUUUUCUUUAUGCAUAUAUAAGAAAAUAAUAUUUGUUUCUAUUUUUAAUGCGAAAGGCAGAAAACUAAUACAUAAUGUUUUCCACAUUCCUUUUUUGUUAAAAAAAACCCUAUGUAUUCAUGAAAGUAUAUCUAUGGGAUAAACUUCCAGGAAUGGAAUUACUGGGUUAAAGGCGUAAGUUUUUGCAAUAUUGAUAGAUAUUUCUCAACUGCCAUCCAUAAGCAUCAAUUUGGAUACUCUCACCAGCCAGGUAUUCCCCAUAGUCUUGAUUUUUAACAAUCUGAACAGUGGAAAAUGCUGAGAGGAUUUCCUUUUAGAGAUGAAAACUAAGGAAACAUGUUGGCUGUAGAAAGCCUGAAUAUGCAGGGGAAAAGAGAGGUGGUAACUGCAGGAGCACAUUCCUUUAUAGGCUAGAGGAGCAGGGUCCAUGUACUGGUGAUUCAUUUACCAGGCACGGAUGCAGGGAGUUGUUGGUACAUUUUGAGUGUGCAAGUGUCCUUUUAGGGCUGCACCCUAGCAUCCCAGGCUAGGGGUCGAAUUGGAGCUGUAGCUGCCGGCCUAUGCCACAGCCACAGCAACUUGGGAUCCCAGCCGUAUCUGUGACCUACACCACAGCUCAAGGCAACGCCAGAUCCUCAGCCCACUGAGUGAGGUCAGGGAUGGAAACUUCAUCCUCAUGAAUGCUAGUCAGAUUUGUUUCCGCUAAGCUACGACGGGAACUCUGGUGCCAGUGUCUUUUGAUUGCUUCUUGUUUUUUUGGUUUUUGUGGGUUUUUUUGGCUGCAGAUGAGGUAUGUGCAAGUUCCCAGGCCAGGGAUUGAACCUGUGCCACAGAAGUGACCCAAGCUCCCGCAGUGACAAUGCUGGAUCCUUAACCUGCUCCACCACAAGGGAAACCCCUGAUUGCUUCUAUUUUAAAGUGAAAUAAGAAUCAAGGUCAUAAGCCAGGAGAAGGGAGAAAGUGUUGAAGAUUUGAGAGAAAAUAGCUGUGAACUGUUUGGCUUGGUGAGUGGGGAAGUAGCCUGCCCAGGGCAGCACCAAGGGCCACCUUGAAGAGUGCAGCUUUAAAUUUAAAGUGAAUUUUGAAGGAAAAGGAGACACCAUGCAUGAAGACUUAUGUUUCAUGGAGAUGUGAGUAAAAACAAAAAAGCAAAGUAUUCAUCUAGGAUUCAUUUAACGAAUACUCAAAGACUCUCCCAUGCAGUGGCACUGCUGCUGGGUGCUGGCUUGUCACUUAAAGCAAAUCACAAGCAUAUUCAAGUUGGUAACAUUAUUCUGACUAAGGUAACAUUAUUCACUCUGCAAACAAAAAUCCAAAAAGUUACCACAGGACCUCUUUAUAUAAAUUGUUCUUGGAGUUCCCAUCCUGGUGCAGCAGAAAUGAAUCCGACUAGGAACCAUGAGGUUGUGGGUUCGAUUCCUGGCCUCGCUGAAUGGAUUAAGGAUCUGGUGUUGCUGUGAGCCGUGGUGUAGGUUGCAGACACAGCUCUGAUCUGGCGUUGCUGUGGCUCUGGCCUGGGCCGGUGGCUACAGCUCCGGUUAGACCCCUUUCCUGGGAAUCUCCAUAUGCCGUGGGUGCGGCCCUCAAAAGACAGAAGACAAAAGACAAAAAUAAAUAAUAAAUAAAUAGUCUUCAUAAAAAAAAAAGUAGAGGCUUAUUCUUAAAAAAGAAAAUUGUUCUCAAAAUUUGGGAAUGGGGAUUCAUAUGCUUGAUAAUCUGAACAGUUUCUCAGAAAAAUAUGCACAUAUACAAAUUUGUAGACAAUUGCACGUGGUGUAGAACCACAAAUAAGAAUCUCUCCUUUGGAGUUCCCAUCGUGGUGCAGCAGGAACGAAUUCGACUAGGAACCAUGAGGUUGCGGGUUUGAUCCCUGGCCUUGCUCUGUGGGUUAAGGAUCUGGUGUUGCCCUGAGCUGUGGUGUAUGUCGCAGGCUCGGCUGGGAUCUGGCGUUGUUGUGGCUGUGGUGCAGGCUGGCUGCUGCUGCUCUGAUUAGACCCCUACCUGGGAACCUCCAUAUACCACAGAUGCGCCCUAGAGAGACCAAAAAAAAAAAAAAAAAAAAAAAA